RNAcentral lists this ribosomal RNA (497 nucleotides) under uncultured bacterium. Its description in RNAcentral is "partial 16S ribosomal RNA". It matches the Rfam family "Bacterial small subunit ribosomal RNA", at positions 28 to 507 of the family's 1533-position model. The record is from RNAcentral.
GACGAACGCUGGCGGCGUGCCUAAUACAUGCAAGUAGAACGCUGAAGAGAGGAGCUUGCUCUUCUUGGAUGAGUUGCGAACGGGUGAGUAACGCGUAGGUAACCUGCCUUGUAGCGGGGGAUAACUAUUGGAAACGAUAGCUAAUACCGCAUAACAAUGGAUGACACAUGUCAUUUAUUUGAAAGGGGCAAUUGCUCCACUACAAGAUGGACCUGCGUUGUAUUAGCUAGUAGGUGAGGUAAUGGCUCACCUAGGCGACGAUACAUAGCCGACCUGAGAGGGUGGUCGGCCAACCUGGGACUGAGACACGGCCCAGACUCCUACGGGAGGCAGCAGUAGGGAAACUUCGGCAAUGGGGGCAACCCUGACCGAGCAACGCCGCGUGAGUGAAGAAGGUUUUCGGAUCGUAAAGCUCUGUUGUAAGUCAAGAACGGGUGUGAGAGUGGAAAGUUCACACUGUGACGGUAGCUUACCAGAAAGGGACGGCUAACUACGUG